This 349-nucleotide unclassified non-coding RNA is filed under the name fungal sp. RNAcentral's name for it is "partial internal transcribed spacer region". The stretch from base 1 to 46 matches the Rfam family "Eukaryotic small subunit ribosomal RNA", at positions 1786 to 1831 of the family's 1831-position model. Lineage: Eukaryota; Fungi. The record is from RNAcentral.
AAGUCGUAACAAGGUAUCCGUAGGUGAACCUGCGGAUGGAUCAUUAUCACGUAUCUCACGUAUAAACCAUUGUGAACUGUACCCACCUUGGAGAAAAUAAGAUAGUGUUGGAGAUAGCGUUACAACGGAACUCCUAGUGAUUUAGUUCCCAGUUAUCAUUCAACCUUUUAAAAGUACUCUUUUAAUGCUUGCUUUCUCUGAGUGUAUUCAAAUUAAUCACUAUUUUAAUUUACCUUUUAAACCUUUACACUUUAACCUUAAACUGAUCUUUUUCUUACUCCCGUAAUACGGAGAAGAAAUUCAUUACGAAACAUAAGAACAACUCUUAGCAACGGAUAUCUUGGUUCUC